GACGAACGCUGGCGGCGUGCUUAACACAUGCAAGUCGAACGGAAAGGCCCUGCUUUUGUGGGGUGCUCGAGUGGCGAACGGGUGAGUAACACGUGAGUAACCUGCCCUUGACUUUGGGAUAACUUCAGGAAACUGGGGCUAAUACCGGAUAGGAGCUCCUGCUGCAUGGUGGGGGUUGGAACGUUUCGGCGGUUGGGGAUGGACUCGCGGCUUAUCAGCUUGUUGGUGGGGUAGUGGCUUACCAAGGCUUUGACGGGUAGCCGGCCUGAGAGGGUGACCGGCCACAUUGGGACUGCGGUACGGCCCAGACUCCAACGGGGGGCAGCAGUGGGGAAUAUUGCACAAUGGGCGGACGCCUGAUGCAGCAACGCCGCGUGCGGGAUGACGGCCUUCGGGUUGUAAACCGCUUUCGCCUGUGACGAAGCGUGAGUGACGGUAAUGUGUAAAGAAGCACCGGCUAACUACGUG
Molecule: ribosomal RNA, 468 nt
Filed under: uncultured bacterium
Lineage: Bacteria
Description: partial 16S ribosomal RNA
Rfam family: Bacterial small subunit ribosomal RNA
Source: RNAcentral